This 46-nucleotide non-coding RNA is filed under the name Trichobilharzia regenti. The record is from RNAcentral. Lineage: Eukaryota; Metazoa; Platyhelminthes; Trematoda; Strigeidida; Schistosomatidae.
AUCCAGCUGACAAGUCCCAAAAUAAGACGAAAUGCGCAUUUUGGAU